Long non-coding RNA from Onychostruthus taczanowskii (white-rumped snowfinch), 585 nucleotides. RefSeq lists it as uncharacterized. NCBI's taxonomy places the organism in Eukaryota, Metazoa, Chordata, Aves, Passeriformes, Passeridae. The transcript has 3 exons. The record is from RefSeq and is a predicted model, not a curated record.
GUCCCUGAGGGGAUUUGGGAACGCUGUCACUGAGGGCUGGGGACACUCACUGUGAGGCACUGGGGACAUUGUCACUGGGAGGGGCCGCUCCGGGCCCGUUUUGAGGCCGGUUCGGGGCCGGGCCGGGCCCAUUCCGGGUUCGCUUCGGGGCCGCUCCGCUCCCGGCCCCGGGCACUCCAUGGCGACCCCUCCUCCCCUCACCGCCGGCAAGGGGCACGCCCCGCGGCGCCGUCCAAUCAGGAGCCAGAACGCCCGUGAUUGACAGGCCGUGCCCUCAGGGAGGAAGCGCCUCCACCAAUCAGAUCGAGGGCGGGAACCAGUCGGACCAAUAGGAGCUGUGGGUGGGCCGCGCCGCUGAGGAGAUCAACCAAUCAGAAGUGCUGUGGGCGAGGCCAAACGGGAGGCGGGCGGUGCCGCGCGUGCGCAGGCGGCUGAGGCGGGCGGUGAAGCGGCGGCGGCGCCGGGCGGACGCGGCAGCGAUGGAGCCGGGAUACGGUGGCUAUGGCACCUGGAGCACCGGGGCCACCGGCACCCAGGGUUCCUAUGGCACCAACACGACCAGCUGGCAAGGUGGGUGUGAGGGCU